Molecule: ribosomal RNA, 468 nt
Filed under: uncultured bacterium
Lineage: Bacteria
Description: partial 16S ribosomal RNA
Rfam family: Bacterial small subunit ribosomal RNA
Source: RNAcentral
GACGAACGCUGGCGGCGUGCUUAACACAUGCAAGUCGAACGGAAAGGCCCUGCUUUUGUGGGGUGCUCGAGUGGCGAACGGGUGAGUAACACGUGAGUAACCUGCCCUUGACUUUGGGAUAACUUCAGGAAACUGGGGCUAAUACCGGAUAGGAGCUCCUGCUGCAUGGUGGGGGUUGGAAAGUUUCGGCGGUUGGGGAUGGACUCGCGGCUUAUCAGCUUGUUGGUGGGGUAGUGGCUUACCAAGGCUUUGACGGGUAGCCGGCCUGAGAGGGUGACCGGGCCACAUGGGGCCGGGGAAGGGGCCCGGACUCAUACGGGGGGAAGGGGGGGGAAAUUUUGCAAAAGGGGCGGAGUCCUGGAGGAAGAACGCCGGGGGGGGGAGGCCGGCUUUCGGGUUGAAACCCGUUUUCGCGUGUGACGGAGCGUGGGGGAGGGAAAUGGGAAAAAAACCACGGCUAACUUCGGG